AGUCAGUUGGCUGCUUUGUGAAGAAGAAGGAGUCAGUGUUCUGAGGGGUUGCCUACAAGAAGCACCAAGAAGUAACUGGUGUGUAUGCAGAGGGACUGGUGCUGAACUGGCUCUGCCUGGCAGGGCACUGGGAGACAGCAGGGCCGUGUCUCCAACCUGGGAAUGAAGAACUGUCCCCAGGCCAAGCCAAAUGUCAAAGAAGCUUGUUCUGGAGAGAACUGAUUGGAAGAAUAGAGAUCCAGGAGAAUUAGCCAGCAGGUCACUCUGUCUGGUGCUGCCUUGCCUCCUGCAGAACGGAGAUGCAAUUUCCAGAGAUCCUUCCCCACCAAAUGCCCAAAGUAGCAACCAGGAAUUCCUGCAAAGGAUAAACUGUAUCACAGAGCUGCCUCUUAAUAAGGUCCUAUCAGUGGUGCAGUGCUAAUGUUUCACUCAUCUCUCUCUAUGGAUGCUUGCACAGGAGGGGUGAGACUAACAGCUCUUCCCGAGGAACGAAAUUUUUGCUCUUUUGGAACAAUGAGCCUCAUUCCUAGGAGUCAUAAAUCAAGCCAAAGUAGCCUGAGGGAUUUAUACCAGAGAAUGAUCUGCAGCACCAGUUUCUUUUUAUUAUCAAGUUAGAGCCAUGGAUCAGAAGAGGAAGCUGCGCCAGUUGACUGUUCUAUUUUAUCCACCAGCCUUUCUCCUUAUUAGUCUUUAGAAAUUCCUUAUUUACCACAUGCAGCAGGACUGAGCUCCCACAAUAAAAGCUGCAGCUGUUUCUGCUUUUUUUUCUUUCUCCUUUUGCCUUCUGCUAGCUAUGUCCCAAACACAGCCAACAAUGGUCUGUCCACCCAGGGAACCAACAUCAAAAGUCUCUUUUGUUUUAGCACAUUCCUCCUUUGCUGCCCCAGCUUUCAUGGCAUUUGUGGCACGCCAGCAGCAGUUGUGAGGAAGACUGUGGGCCAUAAUCUCUCAUUAAUUCUCCUGACCAGAAGCUCUCUGGGGUGGCUCCAGCCUCCGGUGCCAGCAGCACCAGCUGGCCCAGCAUCCCUGUGGGAGGGAGUCUGCCCUUUUGCCACUGCUUUUAUGGAGCUGCUGUUGGGCCAGGAGGUCCUGAGGAGUCCCAAGCUGUCCUGAUGCAUUGACUGGAAGGAGGGAGAGAUGUUGGCUCCCACUGGGCAUUUGGUGGCACAGAACCUUCCAGAGGUUCAUGGCUGUGAUUCAUGUCAAUUCAUGUCAAAUCCUUGCUGUGGUUUGACACUGGGAGGACCCCAGCCACUGCUGUCUGUUUGUAGAGGUGCUGCUGUUGAUCAGGUUCUGGUUAGAAUCCAAGAAUCAUUACAGUUGGAAAAACCCUCCAAGAUGACCAAGUCCAACCUUUAUCUGGACACCAACACAUGAACUAAACCAUAGCACCAAGUGCUGCACUGAGAAAUUUCUCCAACACUUGCAGGGAUUAUGAUUCCACCACCUCCCUAGGCAGCCCCUUACAAUUCUCGACUUGGUGGACUGCAGGUAAAUUUCUCAUAUAAAUAAGAAAAUGGCUGUGGCUGCACACUCCUUCUUGUGAUUUAACAUUGAGAGGACACCAACCACUGCUGUCUGUUUGUAGAGGUGCUGCUGUUCAUCAGGUUCUGGUUAGAAUCCAAGAAUCAUUAUGGUUGGAAAAAACCUCCAAGAUGACCCAGUCCAACCUUUGGCUGAGCACCAACAUAUGAACUAAACCACAGCACCAAGAGCUGCACUGAGAAAUUUCUCCAACACUUGCAGGGAUUAUGACUCCACCACCUCCCUGGGCAGCAAUUGAAGAAAUUACAAUUCUUGAUUUGGUGGACUGCAGGUAAAUUCCUGAUAUAAAAUUUCCAGGUAUAAACAAGAAAACAAUGAAAAAGACCUGGGCUCAGUACUCAGGAGAGGCCACCCAGUGGUUGCUGUUCUUCUGUGUAGUGUUCCCUGUUUUGUAGUGACAACAAAAGGAAUUUCUAAAGCCUGUCUUCCCUUUGACGACCUAAGAAUGAAUUAUUAAAACAACGCUUUGUGAACC
Molecule: long non-coding RNA, 2020 nt
Organism: Zonotrichia leucophrys gambelii
Lineage: Eukaryota; Metazoa; Chordata; Aves; Passeriformes; Passerellidae
Exons: 6
Source: RefSeq, a predicted model, not a curated record